GUGUGUCUGUGUGAACGGAUGCCACAUAUUUCCGGUCCCUGUGAAGGCCAGAAGAGGUCAUCACAUCCCUUCGGUUAUGAGUCCCCCAAUGUGGAAGCUGAGAACUGAACCACGUCCCCUGGAAGAGCAGGAAGCAUUCAACCAUUGAGCCGAUUUCCCCUGCCCCUUAAAAAUCUUAAGUUUAAAAAAAAAAUCCUCUUUGAAACCCAGAACUCCUUAUUCAGCAUGAGUUGAUACACAUGGGCUCAGGAUUUUACAAAUAAAAUAAAUAGAAAUGGGAACACUGAACUCCUGUUAGCAAACAGCUUAAGAGAUGACUGGUCCAUGGCCGACCGGGGAAUGGACAGACAGACACCUCCUGUACCUGUGGAGACAUGGCUUGACCUGAACAGUGGUGCUCUGUACUAGCAAACCCACCCCCACGGAAAGACCCAGAUGCCCUCAACAGGUCUCUAGCAGCCUCACACUGUGUGCGCGCAGGUCUGCAGACAAUAAACCCACGAGCGCCGUUUCCAAGGGGGAAGCAGCUCUGGGCUUUGUGUUUUUGGUUUAUUGACUUGUUUGGUUUUGCCUGAAAAGUCACAGAGGAAGCCAAAAAGAGCUGGUGGUUAUCUUCGGGCUGUGUGAUUUUUAGGUAAUAAUUUUUAUCAUUUGUAUCGGGUCAAAAAAAAAAAAAAAACACCUCGGGACAAAUGACUAACUAUGGUGCCUAUUAGCAUACCAACGUGAAUAUUGCUCUCCAGGCUUCCUCAGUAUCACUCCUUCCUGUGGCUCUUCUCAGUCAGCCCCCUCCCCUCAACUUCUCCAGCCUCUCAUUCCUAUAUUAGGGAUAUAUUUGGGCCAUGAACUCCCGGCCCCUUCUCUCCCUCUUCUUCUCAUGAUCAUGUUCAGUCCACUACUUUCUCUCCCUGCUCUGGACGCUCCCCGAUGCCUCAGACUAUACUCCCUAUCAUUAAAAACCUUCCCCUCAGCCACACCCUGGAAUGGUCAGGUCCUCACUUUACAGUUAGCUUGUCCGGAAUUAGCUAAUUAAAAAAUAAUUUCCUAAUGACUAUAACGGAUGCCUUCCUCAUCCUUGCCCACCCCCUCAUGCUGCUCCCUGAGGGCUACUGACAUUGGCCUCUUAGGAGGCAGCAUCUCUCACUCAAGAGGAUACCUCAGGGCAAACUCGUACAGGUAAACAUGUGACCCCGUUUUCCAAAUAAAAGGCCCAAGACUCAAAGAAGGCCACACUGUUGAGAAACAGUGGUUCCAGGCUCCAGUCACAUUCCUGUCCUGUCUGUGACGGAGAGGCUAGUUCAUGAUUUACCUCCAAAUCCCUACGUUGGGAACAUCUGGGCCUGGAAUCCCAGCGUACCCGUUCCCCACUCCGCUCCCAGGAAGCCCUGCAGUUGGCCUUUGGGGUGUGUGAAGGGCUCCAUCAUGACCCUAGAAGGCCUCCUCUACUCCUACAGGAACCCAGGAGCUCACCCUUCCAUCCUGGCUGUGGUGUAGAGCGGCACUGCUGGGGGGGGGGGGGCACAUUCUCCUGCACCCCGUCUCAGAACCCUCUUGCUAUUGUGUUUCUUCUCUCUGUGGUUACACAUGUGGUAUCCCAGCAUCCUCAGCAAGAGACCUACCUGCCUGGCAUCCCCUCACAUUUAAUAACAUUAAACACCCAAGCUUGACGAUGUUUGCACCUCCUCUCUUCCCCCAAGCCCCCAAUAAGCUUCACUCGACUCGUGCACACAAAACUACAGCCUCUGAUUCUAGGAGCCCCAUCGAGAGAACUCAAAACCAAGCCUGCAAGGGAGGCGAGCUGGGGCCCUUCCCUGCCCAGUGCCACUCUUGUCUGAAGGAAGUACUGGGAAUUUCUGAAGUAGCGUGUGUGUGUGUGUGUGUGUGUGUGUGUGUGUGUGUGUGUGUGUGUGUGUGUGUGCUGUGUUGUGUGUGUGCGAGCGGUGUUUGUGUGCAUUCCCCUACUUGAUUAAAACACAAAACCCACAUUCUACAGUCAAUUAAAAGUGACUUUGGCAGCCGGGCAGUGGUGGCGCACGCCUUUAAUCCCAGCACUCAGGAGGCAGAGGCAGGCGGAUCUCUGUGAGUUCCGAGGCCAGCCUGGGCUACGGAGUGAGAUCCAGGACAGGCUCAAAAAAAAAAAAAGUGACUUUUGCAUUACUGACUUGGUGUGGACGUAGACACCAGCUUCUCCUAUCUCCUGUCUGGGAUAGCUGAAAGCCAUCCAUUCUCGGGGUGGGGGGGGGAUGGUAUGGAGGUGCAGUGGAGGACACGUGGGCAGGGUUCAAGGUGAAGUUCUUGUGUGGGUUUAGAUGACUGGAGGGGACUCGGGAGGACAAGCCACCUCUCGCUAUUUCCCCAUCUGCCGAGUGAGACACAAGCAAACUGGACCCUUGAUCCCACCUGCUCGGGGACUAUAAACUCGUGGCCUGUCCACAACAUGCCGCCUUUCCGGUGCCGCGUCAGAGAGAACCGGCUACGGGCAUGACGUUUACAAACUGUUUCACAGUCAACCUGGGUCGCCACUCUGGAGAGUGAAAACUAACUCAAGGGAGAGACCAACACCAAUGCUGACCAAGGGUAGACUAGCAUUAAAAGCCAGGUGAGCCCGGCAGCUGGGGUACACCUAUAAUCCCAGCCCUUGGCAGGUACAGAGAGGGCAGUCAGGAGUUCAAGGCCGGUGUCAAAUACAUAGGGAGUUGGAUGCCAGCCUGGGCAAUGAGAAACCCUGUCUAUAUAUAUUUAUAAACACCCCAGUUACCAGAAAUAAUGAGCAAGCCAGAACAUUGCCAGAACAUUCUAGGACGUGCCAGAAUGUACAGGUGCACCUAGUUCUUCACUGAACUUUGAAUCCACGCACUGAGAAGUCCAGAGCAAACGGAAGAGAAACACCAGGAUCUAACACUGAAAAUCGAUUCCCUGGCCAGGGCCACGGCUCAGGAGCAGAAGGUUUGCCAGUCACACACAAAGUCCUGGGUUUGAUCCCAGCAUGGCAGCACAAACCAUGAGAACAACUGACACCAGUCUGUCCUCCCUUCCGGAGAGGUGACAGAAUACAAUUCAGAAGUGAGCACGAAGAGGAAGCAGGAGGGAACUGAAGGAAAUCCCAUCCUGAAGGCAAACGUGGCUGGGAGACAAGGCUCCACGAAGCUGCUGAAAUAAAAUCUUGAGACUCAUGUCUGAUGCUAGGGCAACCCGAACCCAACCCACAGAACACCGUGGCCCACUGUGAGGGUCAGUGAAAGAAGUGUGCAUUAACAGGUGGCCUAAAACCCAAGUUUCAGUUACUGCUGACAACCGCCCACCUCUGCAAGCAUCGGACACUGACCUGCCUGCCUUCGGGACACUCUUCAGCAUGGCUACCACAUCCAGCUCCCACUGAGAGGGAAACUUUAGGCUGGAGUAAGAACUUAACAAGUGGGUUGCCUCUGGCACACAGCCAGGAACGGAGAGCAGUAAAGAAUGAGCGGGUGGUAUAAAGCACAUUCACCAGGUC
Peromyscus californicus insignis is the source of this 3493-nucleotide long non-coding RNA. RefSeq lists it as uncharacterized. Lineage: Eukaryota; Metazoa; Chordata; Mammalia; Rodentia; Cricetidae. The record is from RefSeq and is a predicted model, not a curated record. The transcript is spliced from 2 exons.